RNAcentral lists this ribosomal RNA (252 nucleotides) under uncultured bacterium. RNAcentral describes it as "partial 16S ribosomal RNA". It matches the Rfam family "Bacterial small subunit ribosomal RNA", at positions 524 to 776 of the family's 1533-position model. The record is from RNAcentral.
UACGUAGGUGGCAAGCGUUGUCCGGAUUUACUGGGCGUAAAGAGCGCGCAGGCGUCGUGCAAGUCGCGUGUGAAAGCCCCCGGCUCAACUGGGGAGGGUCACGCGAUACUGCUCGACUUGAAGGCAGGAGAGGGAAGUGGAAUUCCCGGUGUAGUGGUGAAAUGCGCAGAUAUCAGGAGGAACACCGGUGGCGAAGGCGGAUCUCUGGGCCUUACCUGACGCUCAGGUGCGAAAGCUAGGGGAGCGAACAGG